This 464-nucleotide ribosomal RNA is filed under the name uncultured bacterium. RNAcentral describes it as "partial 16S ribosomal RNA". It matches the Rfam family "Bacterial small subunit ribosomal RNA", at positions 28 to 507 of the family's 1533-position model. The record is from RNAcentral.
GACGAACGCUGGCGGCGUGCUUAACACAUGCAAGUCGAACGGAAAGGCCCUGCUUGCAGGGUACUCGAGUGGCGAACGGGUGAGUAACACGUGGGUGAUCUGCCCUGCACUUCGGGAUAAGCUUGGGAAACUGGGUCUAAUACCGGAUAGGAACCAUCUUUAGUGUGGUGGUUGGAAAGUUUUUUCGGUGUAGGAUGAGCUCGCGGCCUAUCAGCUUGUUGGUGGGGUAAUGGCCUACCAAGGCGGCGACGGGUAGCCGGCCUGAGAGGGUGUACGGCCACAUUGGGACUGAGAUACGGCCCAGACUCCUACGGGAGGCAGCAGUGGGGAAUAUUGCACAAUGGGCGCAAGCCUGAUGCAGCGACGCCGCGUGGGGAUGAAGGCCUUCGGGUUGUAAACUCCUUUCGCUAGGGACGAAGCUUUUUGUGACGGUACCUAGAUAAGAAGCACCGGCUAACUACGUG